UCCGAAUUAUUUUGUUCUUCGUCAUCAAGGAAAUCACUAAAACAAUCACAUUGAUAAAAUAUAGAUUUUUUGUUAUCCUCUUUCAUUCGUGUCAUCUCCAUCUGAUUUCAUAUAGCAUAAGGAUAUGGCCCAAUAAUUAAACUGCAAUAGUAUUUUCGGGUAGAAAAAUUCACGCUGAUGUGAAGAAAUUUUUGCUAUCCAAGUUUCCUACAAUUUGGAGCAAUGGGCUUCUUAUACACGAAGAAAAAGAAGAGGUGAAGGAGAUCAUUCCACAGCUAAUGCAUUGGACAUCUAAAAAAAUUGAUUCUCUAUGCUCAUUGACCAAGUGAGUAUUUCAUCGAGUUCAAUUCUUCUCGGAUCAA
Long non-coding RNA from Erigeron canadensis, 362 nucleotides. RefSeq lists it as uncharacterized. The record is from RefSeq and is a predicted model, not a curated record. NCBI's taxonomy places the organism in Eukaryota, Viridiplantae, Streptophyta, Magnoliopsida, Asterales, Asteraceae. The transcript has 3 exons.